The sequence is a transfer RNA, 73 nucleotides long. It matches the Rfam family "tRNA". Rfam says of the family: Transfer RNA (tRNA) molecules are approximately 80 nucleotides in length. Their secondary structure includes four short double-helical elements and three loops (D, anti-codon, and T loops). The record is from Rfam.
GCUGGUGUAGCUCAACUGGUAGAGCAACUGAUUUGUAAUCAGUAGGUUGGGGGUUCAAUUCCCUUCACUAGCU